This 390-nucleotide long non-coding RNA is filed under the name Panax ginseng (ginseng). RNAcentral's name for it is "long non-coding RNA (PGIN_LNC003712)". Lineage: Eukaryota; Viridiplantae; Streptophyta; Magnoliopsida; Apiales; Araliaceae. The record is from RNAcentral.
UGGUCAUAUUGCAUUUUACCCAUCUUCACUAUCAUCAUCAUUAAACUGGAUGUCUUCCUCAUUACCACUAAACUCAAUUGCCUUCUUCAUUAUCAUCAAAUUGUUUGGCUUUCUCAUUAUCACCACACUUGAUGCCUUCUUCAUUAUCACCAAACUGGUUAUCUUCUUGCUCAUCAUCAAAGAUCUUCAAUGGAGAUAAUAUUUUUAAGGGAUGCUGAGUUAUAACUACUGUAUCCUCUCCUCUUACCUUAGGAAUAAAAGACUUCAUUUUCUUAAUAUCAUCAAUUGAUAUUAGUUCCCUGUAUCCCGUAACCGGAUCAAAGUGGUAGAAUAAUAAUUAAUUCCCCAUAAAGUCCAACCUCUAUUGUCAUACUACUCAAUUCAUUUGGG